RNAcentral lists this ribosomal RNA (526 nucleotides) under uncultured bacterium. Its description in RNAcentral is "bacterial SSU rRNA". It matches the Rfam family "Bacterial small subunit ribosomal RNA", at positions 777 to 1301 of the family's 1533-position model. The record is from RNAcentral.
AAUAGAUACCCGGGUAGUCCACGCCGUAAACGAUGAGUGCUAAGUGUUAGAGGGUUUCCGCCCUUUAGUGCUGCAGCUAACGCAUUAAGCACUCCGCCUGGGGAGUACAGCCGCAAGGCUGAAACUCAAAGGAAUUGACGGGGGCCCGCACAAGCGGUGGAGCAUGUGGUUUAAUUCGAAGCAACGCGAAGAACCUUACCAGGUCUUGACAUCCUCUGACAACCCUAGAGAUAGGGCUUUCCCCUUCGGGGGACAGAGUGACAGGUGGUGCAUGGUUGUCGUCAGCUCGUGUCGUGAGAUGUUGGGUUAAGUCCCGCAACGAGCGCAACCCUUGAUCUUAGUUGCCAGCAUUCAGUUGGGCACUCUAAGGUGACUGCCGGUGACAAACCGGAGGAAGGUGGGGAUGACGUCAAAUCAUCAUGCCCCUUAUGACCUGGGCUACACACGUGCUACAAUGGAUGGUACAAAGGGCUGCAAACCUGCGAAGGUAAGCGAAUCCCAUAAAGCCAUUCUCAGUUCGGAUUGC